UACAGAGGGUGCUAGCGUUAAUCGGAUUUACUGGGCGUAAAGCGUGCGUAGGCGGUUUGUUAAGUCGGUUGUGAAAGCCCCGGGCUCAACCUGGGAAUUGCAGUCGAUACUGGCAGACUAGAGAACGGUAGAGGGAGGCGGAACUCCGGGUGUAGCGGUGAAAUGCGUAGAUAUCCGGAAGAACACCGAUGGCGAAGGCAACCUCCUGGGCCUGUUCUGACGCUGAGGCACGAAAGCGUGGGUAGCAAACAGG
RNAcentral lists this ribosomal RNA (253 nucleotides) under uncultured bacterium. Its description in RNAcentral is "partial 16S ribosomal RNA". It matches the Rfam family "Bacterial small subunit ribosomal RNA", at positions 524 to 776 of the family's 1533-position model. The record is from RNAcentral.